RNAcentral lists this ribosomal RNA (341 nucleotides) under uncultured bacterium. Its description in RNAcentral is "partial 16S ribosomal RNA". It matches the Rfam family "Bacterial small subunit ribosomal RNA", at positions 150 to 525 of the family's 1533-position model. The record is from RNAcentral.
CGGAAAACUGGGGAUAAUACCGGAUGGUUCCUGCGGGAUAAAGAUUUAUCGCCAAAAGAGGAGUCCGCGUACGAGUAGCUAGUUGGUGAGGUAAUGGCUCACCAAGGCGACGAUCGUUAGCUGGUCUGAGAGGACGAUCAGCCACACUGGGACUGAGACACGGCCCAGACUCCUACGGGAGGCAGCAGUGGGGAAUAUUGGACAAUGGGGGCAACCCUGAUCCAGCCAUGCCGCGUGAGUGAUGAAGGCCUUCGGGUUGUAAAGCUCUUUUGGCGGGGACGAUGAUGACGGUACCCGCAGAAUAAGCCCCGGCUAACUUCGUGCCAGCCGCCGCGGUAAUA